RNAcentral lists this ribosomal RNA (1026 nucleotides) under Triticum aestivum (bread wheat). RNAcentral's name for it is "partial small subunit ribosomal RNA". The record is from RNAcentral. Lineage: Eukaryota; Viridiplantae; Streptophyta; Magnoliopsida; Poales; Poaceae.
AUGGAUUUGGGCUCGAGCUUCACUGCCGUUCAUGGCCGGAGUCCCCUGAGGCGGCAAGGCCCUGGUGGUAGUGGACCGGUGCUGCAACGGUACUACAACCCUGAUGUGGUCUUCCAAGAUGCAGCACGGCAUGGCCGGGAUGAAAUUGAUCUGAAUGUUGCUGUGGAGCCAUCAAUUUUCCUUGAUGAUGAUAUGCAAAAUGUUGCGCACGAAGAAGAAGAUGAUGGAAUUGAUCUGAAUGGUACUCCGGGAAAUGAUAGUGAUGAUUCAUUGCAGCUGAACACGGAUGGUGUAGCUCCAAAUCAUGGCAAUGCCCGUGUGGCUAGUGACAAUGCCAAUGGAAAUGCUGCAACACUUGUUGACGAACCAGAUGAAGAAAUAUCAUCACAGCCAGUUGUCCCUUUUCUUGGAAUGGUUUUUGACAAUGUUGAAGAAGCUCAGCGUGUUUACAAUGAAUAUGCCUCGAAGAUGGGCUUUGGAACUCGCAUUGUGACAUCAAAGCAUAGUAGGAAAAAUAGCUCGGAGCAGAAGCGCAUUCUAAUCUAUAGAGUUUUUGAGUGCGUACACUCACGGAAAAAUCCUUCGAAGAAUGUUGGUGGUAGCAUUUCUGACGGGGCUGCAACAAAUCAGUGUGAAGAUGUUGAUAUGAGCUAUUCUAGUAACAAAAAAUCUGCAAGCAAACAAGCUGGCAUCUAUAUGGAUGUGAGCGACAAGAGGAAAAGAAACCGGUUGGAGCGGUAUGAUUGCAAGGCUCGUAUGGGUGUUAACCUCAAAGACGGUAGCUGGGUUGUGAAAGUUUUUGAGGCCGAUCACACACACCAGCUGAUUUUACAAAGGGGGCGUCGGAGAUUUUGCCACUCUCACAGAAAGAUCCCGGAUGCAGACAUGCAGUACAUCACUUCACCGCACUAUCGCAACAUAUCAACGGCUAAUAUGAUGGGCUUGCUUGGAGAUGCACGGUGUUGCAAUCCAAGGAGUUUGCCGUACGUGAAGACUGAUGUGACAAAUGCAAGAGCAAAGCUGUGA